AAUUUUAUAAAAUAUAUUUUAUUAGUGAAUUUUAAAUAAAUUUUAAAAAAUAAUUAGGUAAUUAAUAAAUUAAGUAUAGUUUUUAAAAAAUUUAUAAAAUUUAUAUUUUUAGUAUUGAAAAAGAAAAAUUUAUUUAUGUAAAAUUAAAAAUAAUUUUUUACCUUUUGUAUCAGGGUUUAUUAAAUUUAUAAAUAUAUUAUUUUUUUCUCGAAAUAAAGUGAUCUAAUUUAAUAAUUUAAUUAAUGUUAAAUUAUUAUUAAUAAUAUUAUUUUAGUUAUUAUAUGUAAUUCAUACUUUAUAUAUCUAGUUAUUUUAUAAAUAAAUUUAAUUUUUUAAUUAUUAUAUUUAUUUUUAAAAAUUUUUAAAAAUAUUUAAUUAAUUAGGGAAAUUUUUGGGGAUAAUCUCUAGGAUUUUUUUUAAAUUUCUGUAAAAUUUAAAAUAUUUUAUUAAUAGUAAUUUUUUUAAAAAUUUAAUAUGUAAUAAUUAAUUUUAUAAAAAUAUUAUUUAAUUAAAAUUAAGUAAUUUAUAAAUUUAAAAAAUUUAAAAAAAUAAUUUUUGAAAUAAUGAUAAAAUUAGUAAAAGUUUUUAAAAAUGAUUUAUUAAAUAUUAAAUUAAAUUAAGGAAUUAGGCAAAGAAUUAGUUUACCUGUUUAUUAAAAACAUGGUUUUUUGAAUAUAAUUUAAAAUCCAAUCUGCUCAAUGAAUAAUUAAAUAGCUGCAGUAUUUUAACUGUACUAAGGUAGCAUAAUCAUUUGUCUUUUUAUUAAAGUCUGGAAUGAAUGAUUAAAUAAAAUUAAAACUGUCUCAAUUUAAAAAUUUAAAAUUAAUUUUAAGUAAAAAUUCUUAAAUUUUUAAAAAAGACGAGAAGACCCUAUAGAAUUUUAUAAAUUUUAAAAUUUAAAUUUUAAAAUUUAUUUGUUUGGGGUGAAUUUAAAAUUUAAAAAAUUUUUAAAUAAAUUAAUUCAUAAAUUUAUGAAAUUAAAAUCUUUAUUUUUAAAAUUAAAAUAAAUUACCUUAGGGAUAACAGCGUAAUUUUUCUUGAUAGUUCAUAUUGAUAGAAAAGUUUGCGACCUCGAUGUUGAAUUAAGAUUAAUUAAUUAUGGAAAAAUAAUAUUAUUUAGUCUGUUCGACUAUUGAAAUCUUACAUGAUUUGAGUUUAGAUCGGCGUGAGCCAGAUCGGAUUCUAUCUUUUUAUAUUUUAAUAAAUUUGUACGAAAGGACUUUUUAUUAUUAAUAUUUAAAUUAUUAAUGAAUUAAAUUA
RNAcentral lists this ribosomal RNA (1260 nucleotides) under Eupelmus sp. ZJUH_2016012. RNAcentral describes it as "16S ribosomal RNA". Lineage: Eukaryota; Metazoa; Arthropoda; Insecta; Hymenoptera; Eupelmidae. The record is from RNAcentral.